UACGUAGGGGGCUAGCGUUGUCCGGAAUCAUUGGGCGUAAAGAGCGUGUAGGCGGCCCGAUAAGUCCGCUGUGAAAGUCCCAGGGCUCGAACCCUGGAAUGGCCGGUGGAUACUGUCGGGCUCGAGUUCGGAAGAGGUGAGUGGAAUUCCUGGUGUAGCGGUGAAAUGCGCAGAUAUCAGGAGGAACACCGGCGGCGAAGGCGGCACGUCUGGGCCGGUACUGACGCUGAGGAGCGAAAGCGUGGGUAGCAAACACGG
Molecule: ribosomal RNA, 258 nt
Filed under: uncultured bacterium
Lineage: Bacteria
Description: partial 16S ribosomal RNA
Rfam family: Bacterial small subunit ribosomal RNA
Source: RNAcentral